GCUUUUCUAUAUGGAUAACGCUCUCCGCCGUUGGAGCUAAAUUAAAAAAGGUAGACAAAUAUAAUUGCUACUAUUCUAUUCCGACGUAAACUUCGAAACAAGUUUAAAAACAAAUUAAUAUACCACAAAAUAUGCGUGGAUAAUUUAUUGUGCCAAAAAUAUUAUAAUGGUUUAAUUUCAGUGUAUAUGUAGGAAAGAAGGAGAGAAGAAAUAAAUAUUUGCAUUGCAUUCUGGAUGAGUUUUAAGCACACAAGAAGUCAACAUGGCCGGCUAUUUUUCCAAGGAUCCCUACGGUAAAAGUGAUACUGCUAGUAAUGAGAACACAGACACAAAUGAAGGCAAACUCUUCGUUGGAGGACUAGCAUGGGAUUCAACAGAAGAAUCAAUAAAACAAUACUUCGAAACCUUUGGUCCAGUUGAGUCAGUAAAUCUCAAAAGAAACAAAGAAGAUGCUUCAAAACACAGGGGUUUUGCAUUCGUUAAAUUUACUAAUGGUGCAGAUGCUGAACGAGUACUAUCACAAAAAGAACCCCAUAUUAUUGAUGGGUCCAGGGUUGAUCCAAAAUCCGCAUGUCCUCUUGGAAUUAAACCAGAGCAAAGAACCAAAAAAAUAUUCGUAGGCGGUCUACAAGCUGAAACCACUGAAGAAAAACUCAUGGAAUAUUUUGGACAAUUUGGAGAAAUAAAGAACAAUAUUGAAUUUGCUGUAGACCAUAAUACAAAGAAACGUAGAGGCUUUUGUUUUAUUGAAUUUGCAAGUGAAGGAAUAGUUGAUCGUAUAGUAAAGGAAAAAUUUCACGAAGUCGCUGGUAAAAGGCUUGAAACUAAGCGUGCCUUAACUAAACAACAACAACAAGAAGCUUCUGCUGUUACUGGAUUUGAUGGUUUACGGCGUGGUCGACUUCCAAAUUCAGUGGUGUACGGAGGUAUGCCAAUAGCUGCUGGUGCUACUCCUUACGCUCAACCUGUCAUAUACAUACAUCCUGAUUCACUCUCGACAACCUAUCCACUCUCUGCUGUUGGUAUGACAGGACUAACAGCUUACCCUGGCAUCACUCCAUCUUAUACAUCUGCACUUGAAACUUUGUAUACUCCUUACAGUAGUCGAGAUUCGAGACACGCUAUUUAUCCUGGAUAUUGGCGAUUUCACCCACCCAAUCCUAAAUUACCUCCGCCCACCAAGUCGUCCUAAUAUUUCCCCUUUUUAUAACUAUACCCAAUAAGUAAAGCACAUAAAUAGCGUAAAAAAUAAGUAAGAAAAAUAAUGAUAAUCUUUUUUUAGGUGUAAUAAAUAGUUGACUAUUGUAGCAUAUAUAUGUAACAGUAGAUAUGCUGAUUAAUAACCGAUACGUAACACAUAACAUUUUUAUUUUCAGAUAUUGUAAAAUUUGUCUGUAAAUACGUGUGAAGUGCACGAAGAACCCUGUACAUAGUAUUUUGUUAUUAUUUAUGCACACAGUCAAAUAUGUUGAUAUAUGUAAAUGCUUUUUUUACUGUUUUGUUGUUGUUCUUUGUUUUUAUUCGUUUAAAUACUUUUGUGUUCUUUCCUACUUUUUGUAAAUGAUUUUGUUUUGUUUCUUGUUUCAUGUUUGUUUGUUUUUUGUCCUUGUUUUUUUUAUUGACCAUUUUUAUAUGUUUAAGUGUAAUAUAGCAUAUACAUAUUCUUUUACUAGAGAAUUUUAGUUGGAGAGAAAAAAGAUUUUAUACAACCAAGUUAUUACAUGUUAAUAGUAUCCAACAAUUUGAUAUAUAUACUUCUGAACAUAUAUGCAAUUGAAAAAUGUAGUGAUGCAAUGUGAAAUUAUUUAAGAGCAAAUUUUAUAUAAAAUAUUUGUAUAUAUUUUCUACAUAAUAUUGUACGAGAAGUAAAUUAUGAUUACUGUACCAAAUAACUCUCCCCAUUAAAUACAAAAUUAACUAACGAAAAGAAAAACUAACCCCUCCCGUUUUCUCAUCACGCAAAAUUAAUGUGGACAAACGACAUGAGGAUGCAAGUGUUCUUGCGCGUUGGUCUGUUCUUGUGGUGCCGCGCCCUCGCCACGUGGAGCACCCGUAAGACACGACCCAUACAGGUCUGCUAAGUAUUGAUUUUACCACGUUGAGAACUGGAUGUAAAUAUUUUUUUCUGUCGUGGCGUUGUAAAGUAGGAAGGUUAAAUAAGACGUUGACGCAUUUAUACAAAAUAUGCAUGUGAAGAAAACCAACUUAAGCCUUGAUGGUUUCGCUAUCAUUAUCGCGUCCCGCUAUGUUUAAGAUAAGGUCUCAUAGUGUGGGAUUUGUACAGAGUCUGGAAAAACCUAAUAUACUAAUCUCAUUUUCACAAAUAACUGGACCCGCAAUGAAACAUCAGGGUUUGUGCGUUGUGAUAGGUGAAGCCAAUAAGAUGCUUAUUAUUAGGAUAGCGACGCCUAAAGUCUUCGAAAUAAUCUAAAAUUUCGACCCAAAUAUUGAUUCCUCCUUAAAUCUAAAUUUUUAUCCAAUGUAACUUUUUUCUUCUUUGAAAGUCAUACUCCCCUAAAACAUGAGAUGGUUUUUACUGUUGUCUAAAAUGUCAUCCCUAAUUCUCACUCUUACAAUUGUACAAGUUGAAGCUGUAGCCACCAUUCUGAUUGUAAACAAUCGUGCUACGUUUUCAAGGUUGGAUCUUUAUUAAAUCACGCCAGAAUCUCUCUGAAUUUAAUUGAACACUUUUGUAUCAGUAAAAAUUUCGCACUGUUUAUAAAAAAGGUUUUGUUGUGGUAUAUAAGUUGCACUUUUUUUCUGGCACUUUUCGCAUGGAAUUCAUUUUUAGAAUUCAUCAGACCUUAGUUGGUUAAAACCAAUUUAUUUUAGCUUUGGUCUGUUUUAUGACAUGUAAUAUUGUCUACUUGGAAAGAUGUUCUAAACAUUAAAA
RNA transcript from Hydractinia symbiolongicarpus, 2893 nucleotides. It is a transcript of the gene named heterogeneous nuclear ribonucleoprotein A/B-like, with no coding region annotated. The transcript has 12 exons. NCBI's taxonomy places the organism in Eukaryota, Metazoa, Cnidaria, Hydrozoa, Anthoathecata, Hydractiniidae. The record is from RefSeq and is a predicted model, not a curated record.